This 253-nucleotide ribosomal RNA is filed under the name uncultured bacterium. RNAcentral's name for it is "partial 16S ribosomal RNA". It matches the Rfam family "Bacterial small subunit ribosomal RNA", at positions 524 to 776 of the family's 1533-position model. The record is from RNAcentral.
UACGUAGGGCGCAAGCGUUGUCCGGAAUUAUUGGGCGUAAAGCGCACGUAGGCGGCUUUCUAAGUCGGGGGUGAAAUCCUGGAGCUCAACUCCAGAACUGCCUUCGAUACUGGAGAGCUCGAGUCCGGGAGAGGUGAGUGGAACUGCGAGUGUAGAGGUGAAAUUCGUAGAUAUUCGCAAGAACACCAGUGGCGAAGGCGGCUCACUGGCCCGGUACUGACGCUGAGGUGCGAAAGCGUGGGGAGCAAACAGG